RNAcentral lists this ribosomal RNA (193 nucleotides) under uncultured Staphylococcus sp. Its description in RNAcentral is "partial 16S ribosomal RNA". It matches the Rfam family "Bacterial small subunit ribosomal RNA", at positions 147 to 334 of the family's 1533-position model. The record is from RNAcentral. Lineage: Bacteria; Bacillati; Bacillota; Bacilli; Caryophanales; Staphylococcaceae.
CUUCGGGAAACCGGAGCUAAUACCGGAUAAUAUAUCGAACCGCAUGGUUCAAUAGUGAAAGACGGUUUUGCUGUCACUUAUAGAUGGAUCCGCGCCGCAUUAGCUAGUUGGUAAGGUAACGGCUUACCAAGGCAACGAUGCGUAGCCGACCUGAGAGGGUGAUCGGCCACACUGGAACUGAGACACGGUCCAG